CCUACGGGAGACAGCAGUGAGGAAUAUUGGUCAAUGGACGCGAGCCUGAACCAGCCAAGUCGCGUGAGGGAAGACGGUCCUAUGGGUUGUAAACCUCUUUUAUCUGGGAGUAAAAGGCGCCACGCGUGGCGUUUCGUAAGUACCCGAUGAAAAAGGAUCGGCUAACUCCGUGCCAGCAGCCGCGGUAAUACGGAGGAUGCGAGCGUUAUCCGGAUUUAUUGGGUUUAAAGGGGGCGAAGGCGGAAGGUAAAGUCAGUGGUAAAAUUGAGAGGCUCAACCUCAUCUUGCCGUUGAAACUGGGAUUCUUGAGUGCGGUAGAGGUAUGCGGAAUGCGUGGUGUAGCGGUGAAAUGCAUAGAUAUCACGAAGAACUCCGAUUGCGAAGGCAGCACACUGG
RNAcentral lists this ribosomal RNA (396 nucleotides) under uncultured bacterium. RNAcentral's name for it is "partial 16S ribosomal RNA". It matches the Rfam family "Bacterial small subunit ribosomal RNA", at positions 338 to 732 of the family's 1533-position model. The record is from RNAcentral.